AUGGAGCAGUUCCAUCACGGCCAGCACGUGCGGCUGCGCAGCCGCGUGCACGGCACAUACCUGCACGCCGACGAGGACGGCCAUGGCGUCAACCUCCGCUUCCGCCGGGAGUCUAUGAACGCGGCUUGGGCGGUGCACCGGCACCCGGGCAAGGACGGACAGUUCCUGCUCCUCCACAGCGCCGCCUACGGCCACUACCUCGCCGCUACAGAUGUGCCGGCGCCGCCCGGCCACCGCGGGCUCCGCGCCAUCCUGUCAAAAUCCGAGGAAGAGGUCUACCUCCGCAACAUCGGUGGCGCCUGCCUCCGCGCCAACGGGAGGUUCUGGAACACUGACGCCACCAUCGACUACAUUGAGGACCUCGACAACAUCAGCAGGAAGAUGCUCUGGGUUGUGGAGCAAAUCCCCGCCAGGGAGGUCAUGCCUCCCCUUCCACGUCCGAUUGGGCUUCCCCACCCAAUGUUGCGGUCGCGGAUGAUCAUGUACAUGUGGCGGAACAUCCUCGGGGGCCUCAUCACCUGCGGCUCGUUCGUGUUCUGGGGGAGGUCCGUGUUCCGCCUGAGGAAUCAGCUGGUCAGGCGGCUGCGCCCCAUGAUAGACUUGGACGACCCCGAGCUCGUCAUGGGCCUCCCCACACGUGAUGGCCGGAUGUUUCCACUCGUCGUCGACCUGCCCAGUAGCGGCCAUACCCUCCACAUCUUCCUCACCAUCGCCGGGACGCCUGCCCACGAGGAGCUGCGGUAUGCGGAUGUCGAUGCAGAGUAG
RNAcentral lists this ribosomal RNA (765 nucleotides) under Triticum aestivum (bread wheat). RNAcentral's name for it is "partial small subunit ribosomal RNA". Lineage: Eukaryota; Viridiplantae; Streptophyta; Magnoliopsida; Poales; Poaceae. The record is from RNAcentral.